Molecule: transfer RNA, 72 nt
Filed under: Camelus bactrianus (Bactrian camel)
Lineage: Eukaryota; Metazoa; Chordata; Mammalia; Artiodactyla; Camelidae
Also listed under: 1 other name
Rfam family: tRNA
About the family: Transfer RNA (tRNA) molecules are approximately 80 nucleotides in length. Their secondary structure includes four short double-helical elements and three loops (D, anti-codon, and T loops). Further hydrogen bonds mediate the characteristic L-shaped molecular structure. tRNAs have two regions of fundamental functional importance: the anti-codon, which is responsible for specific mRNA codon recognition, and the 3' end, to which the tRNAs corresponding amino acid is attached (by aminoacyl-tRNA synthetases). tRNAs cope with the degeneracy of the genetic code in two manners: having more than one tRNA (with a specific anti-codon) for a particular amino acid; and 'wobble' base-pairing, i.e. permitting non-standard base-pairing at the 3rd anti-codon position.
Source: Rfam by way of RNAcentral
GGGGAAAUAGCUCAGGAGUAGCGCACAUGCUUGGCAUGCAUGAGGUCCUGGGUUCAAUCCCCAGUGCCUCCA